UACAGAGGUCCCAAGCGUUGUUCGGAUUCACUGGGCGUAAAGGGUGCGCAGGCGGCCGAGUGUGUGAGGCGUGAAAGCCCGGGGCUUAACCCCGGAAUUGCACCUCAAACUACACGGCUAGAGCAUUGGAGAGGGUAGCGGAAUUCACGGUGUAGCAGUGAAAUGCGUAGAUAUCGUGAGGAACACCAGAGGCGAAGGCGGCUACCUGGACAAUUGCUGACGCUCAGGCACGAAAGCGUGGGGAGCAAAAGGG
This 253-nucleotide ribosomal RNA is filed under the name uncultured bacterium. RNAcentral's name for it is "partial 16S ribosomal RNA". It matches the Rfam family "Bacterial small subunit ribosomal RNA", at positions 524 to 776 of the family's 1533-position model. The record is from RNAcentral.